This 468-nucleotide ribosomal RNA is filed under the name uncultured bacterium. RNAcentral describes it as "partial 16S ribosomal RNA". It matches the Rfam family "Bacterial small subunit ribosomal RNA", at positions 28 to 507 of the family's 1533-position model. The record is from RNAcentral.
GACGAACGCUGGCGGCGUGCUUAACACAUGCAAGUCGAACGGAAAGGCCCUGCUUUUUUUGGUUGCUCGAGUGGCGAACGGGUGAGUAACACGUGAGUAACCUUCCCUUGACUUUGGGAUAACUUCAGGAAACUGGUGCUAAUACCGGAUAGGAGCUCCUGCUGCAUGGGGGGGGUUGGAAAGUUUCGGCGGUGGGGGAUGGACUCGCGGCUUAUCAGCUUGUUGGUGGGGUAGUGGCUUACCAAGGCUUUGACGGGUAGCCGGCCUGAGAGGGUGACCGGCAACAUUGGGACUGAGAUACGGCCCAGACUCCUACGGGAGGCAGCAGUGGGGAAUAUUGCAAAAUGGGCGGAAGCCUGAUGCAGCAACGCCGCGUGCGGGAUGACGGCCUUCGGGUUGUAAACCGCUUUCGCCUGUGACGAAGAGUGAGUGACGGUAAUGGGUAAAGAAGCACCGGCUAACUACGUG